UAGGGAAUCUUCCGCAAUGGACGCAAGUCUGACGGAGCAACGCCGCGUGAGUGAAGAAGGAUUUCGGUUCGUAAAACUCUGUUGUUAGAGAAGAACAGCGCAUAGAGUAACUGUUAUGCGUGUGACGGUAUCUAACCAGAAAGCCACGGCUAACUACGUGCCAGCAGCCGCGGUAAUACGUAGGUGGCAAGCGUUGUCCGGAAUUAUUGGGCGUAAAGCGAGCGCAGGCGGUCAAUUAAGUCUGAUGUGAAAGCCCCCGGCUCAACCGGGGAGGGUCAUUGGAAACUGGUUGACUUGAGUGCAGAAGAGGAGAGUGGAAUUCCAUGUGUAGCGGUGAAAUGCGUAGAUAUAUGGAGGAACACCAGUGGCGAAGGCGACUCUCUGGUCUGUAACUGACGCUGAGGCUCGAAAGCGUGGGUAGCAAACAGG
RNAcentral lists this ribosomal RNA (429 nucleotides) under Bacteroidota bacterium. Its description in RNAcentral is "Bacteroidetes bacterium partial 16S ribosomal RNA". It matches the Rfam family "Bacterial small subunit ribosomal RNA", at positions 355 to 776 of the family's 1533-position model. The record is from RNAcentral. Lineage: Bacteria; Pseudomonadati; Bacteroidota.